CCUACGGGAGGCAGCAGUGGGGAAUAUUGCACAAUGGGCGAAAGCCUGAUGCAGCGACGCCGCGUGAGGGAUGACGGCCUUCGGGUUGUAAACCUCUUUCAGCAGGGAAGAAGCGAGAGUGACGGUACCUGCAGAAGAAGCGCCGGCUAACUACGUGCCAGCAGCCGCGGUAAUACGUAGGGCGCAAGCGUUGUCCGGAAUUAUUGGGCGUAAAGAGCUCGUAGGCGGCUUGUUGCGUCGGUUGUGAAAGCCCGGGGCUUAACCCCGGGUCUGCAGUCGAUACGGGCAGGCUAGAGUGUGGUAGGGGAGAUCGGAAUUCCUGGUGUAGCGGUGAAAUGCGCAGAUAUCAGGAGGAACACCGGUGGCGAAGGCGGAUCUCUGGGCCAUUACUGACGCUGAGGAGCGAAAGCGUGGGGAGCGAACAGGAUUAGAUACCCUGGUAGUCCACGCCGUAAACGUUGGGAGCUAGGUGUUGGCGACAUUCCACGUCGUCGGUGCCGCAGCUAACGCAUUAAGUCCCCGCCUGGGGAGUACGGCCGCAAGGCAAAACGUCAAAGGAAUUAGAACG
Molecule: ribosomal RNA, 568 nt
Filed under: uncultured bacterium
Lineage: Bacteria
Description: bacterial SSU rRNA
Rfam family: Bacterial small subunit ribosomal RNA
Source: RNAcentral